RNAcentral lists this ribosomal RNA (253 nucleotides) under uncultured bacterium. RNAcentral describes it as "partial 16S ribosomal RNA". It matches the Rfam family "Bacterial small subunit ribosomal RNA", at positions 524 to 776 of the family's 1533-position model. The record is from RNAcentral.
UACAGAGGGGGCAAGCGUUGUUCGGAAUUACUGGGCGUAAAGGGCGCGUAGGCGGCCUGCUAAGUCGAACGUGAAAUCCCUGGGCUCAACCCAGGAACUGCGUCCGAUACUGGUUGGCUUGAAUCCGGGAGAGGGAUGUGGAAUUCCAGGUGUAGCGGUGAAAUGCGUAGAUAUCUGGAGGAACACCGGUGGCGAAGGCGGCAUCCUGGACCGGUAUUGACGCUGAGGCGCGAAAGCUAGGGGAGCAAACGGG